This 468-nucleotide ribosomal RNA is filed under the name uncultured bacterium. RNAcentral describes it as "partial 16S ribosomal RNA". It matches the Rfam family "Bacterial small subunit ribosomal RNA", at positions 28 to 507 of the family's 1533-position model. The record is from RNAcentral.
GACGAACGCUGGCGGCGUGCUUAACACAUGCAAGUCGAACGGAAAGGCCCUGCUUUUGUGGGGUGCUCGAGUGGCGAACGGGUGAGUAACACGUGAGUAACCUGCCCUUGACUUUGGGAUAACUUCAGGAAACUCGGGCUAAUACCGGAUAGGAGCUCCUGCUGCAUGGUGGGGGUUGGAAAGUUUCGGCGGUUGGGGCUGGACUCGCGGCUUAUCAGCUUGUUGGGGGGGUAGUGGCUUACCAAGGCUUUGACGGGUAGCCGGCCUGGGAGGGUGACCGGCCACAUUGGGACUAAGGUACGGCCCAGACGCCUACGGGAGGCAGUGGUGGGAAAUAUUGCACAAUGGGCGGAAGCGUGAUGCAGCAGCGCCGCGUGCGGGAUGACGGCCUUCGGGUUGUAAACCGAUUUGGCCUGUGACGAAGCGUGAGUGACGGUAAUGGGUAAAGAAGCACCGGCUAACUACGUG